This 501-nucleotide ribosomal RNA is filed under the name uncultured bacterium. RNAcentral's name for it is "partial 16S ribosomal RNA". It matches the Rfam family "Bacterial small subunit ribosomal RNA", at positions 29 to 523 of the family's 1533-position model. The record is from RNAcentral.
AUUGAACGCUGGCGGCAUGCCUUACACAUGCAAGUCGAACGGCAGCACGGGUGCUUGCACCUGGUGGCGAGUGGCGAACGGGUGAGUAAUACAUCGGAACGUACCUUAUCGUGGGGGAUAACGCAGCGAAAGCUGUGCUAAUACCGCAUACGCCCUGAGGGGGAAAGCGGGGGAUCGAAAGACCUCGCGCGAUUAGAGCGGCCGAUGCCUGAUUAGCUUGUUGGUGGGGUAAAAGCCCACCAAGGCGACGAUCAGUAGCUGGUCUGAGAGGACGAUCAGCCACAGUGGGAAUGAGAGACGGCCCAGACUCCUUCGGGAGGCAGCAGUGGAGAAUUUUGGACAAUGGGGGCAACCCUGAUCCAGCAAUGCCGCGUGAGUGAAGAAGGCCUUCAGGUUGUAAAGCGCUUUUGUCAGGGAAGAAACACCGGCUCUAACACAGUCCGGGAAUGACGGUACCUGAAGAGUAAGCACCGGCUAACUACGUGCCAGCCGCCGCGGUAA